GUUUGAUCCUGGCUCAGAACGAACGCUGGCGGCGUGCCUAACACAUGCAAGUCGAACGUGAUCCGCCCUUCGGGGUGGUGAGAGUGGCGCACGGGUGAGUAACGCGUGGAUAAUCUGCCCGAGGAUUUGGGAUAACAUCUCGAAAGGGGUGCUAAUACCGAAUAAGCCCACGGGGUCUACGGAUCUUGCGGGAAAAAGGGGGGGACCUUCGGGCCUCCUGUCCUUGGAUGAGUCUGCGUACCAUUAGCUAGUUGGUGGGGUAAUGGCCUACCAAGGCGACGAUGGUUAGCUGGUCUGAGAGGAUGAUCAGCCACACUGGAACUGAGACACGGUCCAGACUCCUACGGGAGGCAGCAGUGGGGAAUUUUGCGCAAUGGGGGAAACCCUGACGCAGCAACGCCGCGUGGGUGAUGAAGGCCUUCGGGUCGUAAAGCUCUGUCUGGAGGGAAGAAAUGAUUGGGAGCUAAUACCUCUUGAUCUUGACGGUACCUCUGAAGGAAGCACCGGCUAACUCCGUGCCAGCAGCCGCGGUAAUACGGAGGGUGCAAGCGUUGUUCGGAAUUAUUGGGCGUAAAGCGCGUGCAGGCGGUCUUUUAAGUCUGAUGUGAAAGCCCCGGGCUCAACCUGGGAAGUGCAUUGGAAACUGGGAGGCCUGAGUACGGGAGAGGAGAGUGGAAUUCCUAGUGUAGGAGUGAAAUCCGUAGAUAUUAGGAGGAACACCGGUGGCGAAGGCGGCUCUCUGGACCGAUACUGACGCUGAGACGCGAAAGCGUGGGUAGCAAACAGGAUUAGAUACCCUGGUAGUCCACGCCGUAAACGAUGAGUACUAGGUGUUGCGGGUAUU
Molecule: ribosomal RNA, 844 nt
Filed under: uncultured bacterium
Lineage: Bacteria
Description: bacterial SSU rRNA
Rfam family: Bacterial small subunit ribosomal RNA
Source: RNAcentral